RNAcentral lists this ribosomal RNA (473 nucleotides) under uncultured bacterium. RNAcentral's name for it is "bacterial SSU rRNA". It matches the Rfam family "Bacterial small subunit ribosomal RNA", at positions 328 to 793 of the family's 1533-position model. The record is from RNAcentral.
GCAGAGCACUCCUACGGGAGGCAGCAGUGGGGAAUAUGCACAAUGGGGGAAACCCUGAUGCAGCCAUGCCGCGUGUGUGAAGAAGGCCUUCGGGUUGUAAAGCACUUUCAGUAGGGAGGAAGGUAGUGUAGUUAACACCUGCAUUAUUUGACGUUACCUACAGAAGAAGCACCGGCUAACUCCGUGCCAGCAGCCGCGGUAAUACGGAGGGUGCGAGCGUUAAUCGGAAUUACUGGGCGUAAAGCGCAUGCAGGCGGCCUGUUAAGUCAGAUGUGAAAGCCCCGGGGCUUAAACCUCGGAAUUGCAUUUGAAACUGGCAGGCUAGAGUCUUGUAGAGGGGGUAGAAUUUCAGGUGUAGCGGUGAAAUGCGUAGAGAUCUGAAGGAAUACCAGUGGCGAAGGCGGCCCCCUGGACAAAGACUGACGCUCAGAUGCGAAAGCGUGGGGAGCAAACAGGAUUAGAUACCCUGGUAG